GUCGAGGUGGCGGAAUGGCAGACGCACUGGCUUCAGGAGCCAGCGACCGCAAGGUCAUGAGGGUUCGAGUCCCUCUCUCGACA
This 83-nucleotide transfer RNA is filed under the name bacterium. RNAcentral's name for it is "tRNA-Leu". It matches the Rfam family "tRNA". Rfam says of the family: Transfer RNA (tRNA) molecules are approximately 80 nucleotides in length. Their secondary structure includes four short double-helical elements and three loops (D, anti-codon, and T loops). RNAcentral also lists the same sequence under 1 other name. The record is from RNAcentral.